Molecule: long non-coding RNA, 3177 nt
Filed under: Salvia miltiorrhiza (redroot sage)
Lineage: Eukaryota; Viridiplantae; Streptophyta; Magnoliopsida; Lamiales; Lamiaceae
Description: long non-coding RNA (SMIL_LNC005550)
Source: RNAcentral
AUAGUGAAAUAAAUAUUUUAUUAACAAAAAUUACUUUACUAAAUAUAACAUUUUUAAGAAAGACUGAAUUCAAAAUAUUUGAUUCGCCAUUCGACCUUCCACGUGCCUCCGACCUUUAAAACCUGAAAAUGUUAAAUAUGGGAUGAGUAUACAGGGUACACUCAGUGUGGGAAACAUGCAAUCAUUGUCCACGUUAAUAAAAUGAGAAUCACAUAUGAUCAAUACAUUCGUAACUGAAAGUCGCACUGUGGCAUACCAAGGACCUUUCCGUCCUGGACCGAUUGAGCCGGCCCCUGGCGACUGGUUGCAACCAUAACUUUAACAUGAAAUCGCAUUGUGGCAUACCAAGGACGGUGAAGUCCUGGACCCAUUGAGCGGGCCCCUAGCGAUAUAAUUUAAUGCAACUCACAUAUGGUAAACACAUGAUAUUAAAAUGGACAAGAAUUAACCACGGGCAUGUACUGAAAUAAAUCCCACACCUGAAACUUUGAACUUGAACUUCAACUUGAACUUGAAAGCUAACUUGAGUAAAUCAAUUAAAAGUAACGUCCUAGUCGCGCCGCACCUAGUCAGAUGAAUUCAAAUAAUAAUACAUAAGGGCCUAAUUGAACUUUAAAAUAAUAAUAGUAGUAGUUUAAAUCAUAAAAUCAUUUGAAAUCAUUGGUCUAAUAAAUUAUAAAAGAACUUUUAUAAAAAGAUUUGACCCCAAUAUUUAAUUAAAACUAAAUUUGAAUUAAUAAUUCAAGUCCAAAUAUAAUAUGAAUGAUGUCCUUUAUAAAAUGAUAUGCAAAUGCAAGUCCAUUUGAUAAAAUAAAUUAGUGCAAUAGCUAAUCAAAUUAUAGCCCAAUCAUUUAAUAAAUUGAACCCAUUAACUAUCAACCAUCCUAGGCCCAAGCCCAUACUUCCCUUCCCACUUAAUUUAAUCAUACCCACACAACUCCAAAACACCACUUCACGCAGCCUCCUCACUCCCACUCUCUCAACCGACCACCCCCCAUCCUUCUCCUCCUCUUCUUGGCCCCCUGCCGCUGCCACCAGACGGCACGCCGCCGCCGGAGGCCGGCGGCUCUGCCUCCUUUCUCUUCCCCCUUUUUCCUAUCUCCUUCUCACCCCUCACUUCUCGCUCUCCUCCCUCAUCUUUCUUCCUCCUCCCUUGCCACCGUCUCGGCCGCACCAGCUACGGCCGUUCCUUUCUCCGGCGGUGACCUUCGCCGCCCGCCAGCGUUACCACCCUAUCCAUGCCUCCCACCUCUCAUCUCCUUCUCGCCGACAACAGCCACGGCAAUAGCAGCAGCUGAUCGGCCCGCCACCUCCCUUUUCAGAUCCGGCGCCACCACUGCCCCUGUCUCUCUCUCUCUCCGCCCUUGCCGCCCCUCGACAGACAGCAGCAGCCGGUCAGGCUGCUUCCCCCCUUUCACCUCUCCGGCGACAACAAUCUUCACCAACAAUUCUUCCAUUCAUUUCCUUUUCUUUUCUUCUAAUUCCUUACUAUUAUUCUUUUAAUUCUUCCCUUUUCUUUUGAUUUUUCAUGUAAAAUUGUUGGAUUAGUGCAUGAGAAAUAAAAUGAUUAUGCUUGGUUGGGCUUCUGUAUAAAGUAGAUGAGAACAAGAUAUAAGAUGAUUGUUUAUUGUGAUGAAAUAAAAGAAUGAAGGUUUCAACGACAUAAAGAAAUUACCGUUUANCGUCCUGGACCGAUUGAGCCGGCCCCUGGCGACUGGUUGCAACCAUAACUUUAACAUGAAAUCGCAUUGUGGCAUACCAAGGACUUUAAUGUCCUGGACCCAUUGAGCGGGCCCCUAGCGAUAUAAUUUAAUGCAACUCACAUAUGGUAAACACAUGAUAUUAAAAUGAACAAGAUUAACCACAGCAUGUACUGAAAUAAAUCCCACACCUGAAUUUUGAACUUGAACUUGAACUUGAAAGUUAAUUCUGAUAAUUCAAAUUAAAAUCCAUGUCCUAGUCGCGCCGCACCUAGUCAGAUAAAUUCAAAUAAUAAACAUAAGGGCCUAAUUGAACUUUAAAAAUAAUAAUAAUAAUAGUACUAGUUAAAUCAUAAAACCUUCAAAAUCAUUGGUCUAAUAAAUAAUAAAAGCACUCUUAUAAAAAUCUGACUCAAGAUUUAAUAAAAUAAAGUCCAAUUAAUAAUGAAAAUCAAAAAAUAAUACAAAUAUGACCUUUAUAAAAUAAUAUGCAAAUGCAAGACCAUUUGAUAAAUAAAUUAGUGCAAUAAUUAAUCAAAUUAUAGCCCAAUCAGUUAAUAAAUUGAGCCCAUUUAAAAAUAAACUAUCCUAGGCCCAAGCCCAAGUCCACUCUUCCAACUCCCCUAAUUUACACACACCCACACCCUAAUUGCUCACAAAACUCACGCAGCCCCCACUUCCCUUUUCUCUCUCUCCCCUCUCUCCCCGGUCUCCCCCUGCCGCCGCCGCCGGACGUCAGCCAGUCGCCGGAGGCCGGCGGCUCUGGCCUCCUUUCUCUUCCCCCUUCUUCCUAUCUCCCUCUCACCCCUCACUUCUCGCUCUCCUCCCUCAUCUUUCUUCCUCCUCCCUUGCCACCGUCUCGGCCGCACCAGCUACGGCCGUUCCUUUCUCCGGCGGUGACCUUCGCCGCCCGCCAGCGUUACCACCCUAUCCAUGCCUCCCACCUCUCAUCUCCUUCUCGCCGACAACAGCCACGGCAAUAGCAGCAGCUGAUCGGCCCGCCACCUCCCUUUUCAGAUCCGGCGCCACCACUGCCCCUGUCUCUCUCUCUCCGCCCUUGCCGCCCCUCGACAGACAGCAGCAGCCGGUCAGGCUGCCUCCCCCCUUUCACCUCUCCGGCAACAACAAUCUUCACCAACAAUUCUUCUACUCCUUUCUUUUCUUUUCUUCUAAUCCCUUACUAUUAUUCUUUUAAUUCCUUCCUUUUCUUUUGAUUAUGCAUAUGCUAUGUAAUGGUUUUUCAAAAGAAACAUUUUUUUCUAAAUAAAACAAGAAAUUGUGAGAGUUUUGGCAAUAUAUAUAUGGUGUCUGCAUAGGCGAAAAUUGAAGAAAAUAGCCAUGAUGAAUUAAAAGGAACUUUUGUUUGUUUUUGAAAAUAAUAAGUUUACCUUUCGAUGCCUGCACUGGAAAGAACAAAUGGAAAUCAAGGAAAAAGAUGAGAAUCAAAGUUUGCUACGUUUUUAUCAAUUUUCUUUCG